GCACUUUGCACUGCCUUUUAGGACUUUUGGUUACAUACCGAGUUAAUUGCUACUUUGUUUUGAUGGCCACCAUGCUGCUAUCUUUAGAUGAAGAAACAUGGUUUUUUUUAAAUCAGAAGUGGGACCCUUCAAGGAAACUUGUCCAAUAUUUUUUUUGCCAUAAAUAUAGUUAGAACAUGAUGCAGCCUCUGAUUUUUAAGCUGUAGCAAUGCUUGUUCUCAAGUACCAACACAGUAGAAAAGCCACGGCUGAUAGUCAAGUUGGUCUUUGCAUAGUGCCUAGGGAGUACAAGACCAGCUUUCUGGAAUCUGUGAAAGAAAGACUGUUGCUGAUGAGCCGUUGCCUGGUAAAAGGCUUACUUCAGACACACAACAGGGAUGCUACUGUCACAGUGAGCAGAAAAGAAUGAAAGAAACAUCAAAGAAAAAAGUGAACAGGGUAAUUUGGUACAGUCAGGUGGUACAAGAGAUGUAGGAAAGAGGUAAGCCUUUGAAAGUAAUAUACCCCAGGAAAAAAAAAAAGCCCACAGUUAAGACCUAGUCAAAGUUGAUGCUGAUCUCUCAAGUUAAUGUUGUCAGGAGUGAAAACUUUGUGGAAGAUUGGCUGUAUUCCAUUUUUUCAGUUCUGUGCUCUUUUAGGAAUGUUAAUUUUUUUCUUGGAUAAUUAGAUGUCUGAUAUUAGAUGCAUAUAAGUAACAGGGGAAAUGGUUUGCAUGCUGACAGUAAUAACACUGAUCCGUUUGCCAGAUAACUGUUCUGGCCUGUUUUUUCAGAAUCAUUUUAUUCCCACAAACAACAGCAGACACACCUGACAACAACCACCUGGAUUUCUCUGCAGGGGUGAAAUCCUGGGACCUUUUACUGAUUUCAGUGGUCCCAGGAUUUUGGAUGCAUCCUCAAAAUUUCCCUUUAAGAUAAUCCUCUUCCAAAAUAUUUUUUUCUUUUGAUAGCUUAUUGGGAAUGACGCCCCCUUGCCAAUAGAAUAAUAGAACUGAAACUUCAUGUGCAAAGCUGUGUUGCUCAGGGAAGUCGCUUUUCAGAAUUGGCACAGAAGCUUUUACUGUAAUUUUCAAAAUGUGCCUCUCUAGGUGGGAGGGAGGUGUGUUCUCCUUAAACUAAAAAUCAGGUUUAUCUGUUUUCUGUUAACCAAAGUUCAGGACUCUGGUGUCAUUCAUGUCUUUUAGAAAAUUGUUCCUGUCUUUUUUGAUCGUCUAUUUACCAGCUGCUCAGCAAACAACACCUAACAACAAAGGACUGGGGGAAAACUGGUGGCAGCUGCUUGUUAUCAUGUACCUUAUGCUACUUACAACUUAUUUUUUUGCAUUGAGAUCAGAUAAAGUUUUGGUUCAAUAGAAUAAAGCUUUCAAUCCUGGCUUUUUAAGGAGUAAAAAUAUGGACGUGAGGUGAGUGAAGCCAGCAUCAGAUUACUUUUGGUUUUGUUUCUGAGCACAGGAUCCAGGAGUAAUUUUUAGAUGCCUAAUAAUAACAAGGAAAAUAGACCUGAACUGUUUGGGACCAAAGUGGUAUUAGGAUUUUCAGCUAAGUGCUCAAUUAUGAUACAACAUUUCUGUUCAGGUCAAAGUGAGGCAGCUUUCACAUCUGUGGAAGAAGAGAAAGGUCCCUGAAAUAUUUUUGAAAAAUCCGAUGAUGAUCUGAGCACAGUGCAUUUCAGUUCAUGAAGAAAUGGGUUUUAACAUACAUUACAAGCAUCCUUAUAACUAACUCUAUGGGGUGCAAUGGGAUUAAAAAAAAAAUCCCAAAGAAGUCAAAACCUUUACCAACUAUCUGCAGGUACGGAACAUCAUUCAUAGCUCUGCACAUUCUUUUCUUUUGAAUGUGGAAGAUAAAAAUAGAUUUCCUACACAAAGUUCUCAUUAGGGGGUCACACAAAUACACAGCAGACAUUUUGUUCUGAAUCAGAGCAUUCUCUACACUACUUCUUUUGAUGUAUGGAAUCCUUACUGCAGGGAUCUUUCCUUUUACUGUCUAUUAUUGUCUAUUAUUCAACAUGGCAACAAUAUAUGAAGCUGUUACUGAGCUAAGCAUGCAGCAUAUUAACAUAUCUGUAUAUAUUUAUAAAACUACUGUUUAGCUUCUUUUUUUCUUUU
This is a long non-coding RNA of Falco tinnunculus (common kestrel), 2107 nucleotides long. NCBI's taxonomy places the organism in Eukaryota, Metazoa, Chordata, Aves, Falconiformes, Falconidae. The record is from Ensembl.